AGGCAAGAUGUUGGCAUAGCUGUUGAGUUGAAAGCCCUGCUAUGCCAUCAAAUUGCCAUU
This 60-nucleotide microRNA precursor is filed under the name Monopterus albus (swamp eel). RNAcentral's name for it is "Mal-Mir-31_pre stem-loop". It matches the Rfam family "mir-31 microRNA precursor family", at positions 12 to 71 of the family's 83-position model. The record is from RNAcentral. Lineage: Eukaryota; Metazoa; Chordata; Actinopteri; Synbranchiformes; Synbranchidae.